RNAcentral lists this unclassified non-coding RNA (220 nucleotides) under Hevea brasiliensis (rubber tree). The record is from RNAcentral. Lineage: Eukaryota; Viridiplantae; Streptophyta; Magnoliopsida; Malpighiales; Euphorbiaceae.
UGCAGGCUUUUGGGAAUAAAUAAUGUCAAAUUGAAGACAAUGUUCAACAUCCUCCAAAAGUGAGAUAAAGUUAUAUGGAUAUUGUGAUACGAGUGGAGGCUGACAUUCUAUCUUAACCGUCAAAAACUAUAAUAUCUAUAAGCUUAUGACAUUAAAAGGAAUUAAGGCUAAAUUGAUAAUAUAAGACUGUCCAAUUUUAGACCAAAAAAUGACAAAAAAA